RNAcentral lists this ribosomal RNA (253 nucleotides) under uncultured bacterium. Its description in RNAcentral is "partial 16S ribosomal RNA". It matches the Rfam family "Bacterial small subunit ribosomal RNA", at positions 526 to 779 of the family's 1533-position model. The record is from RNAcentral.
CAGAGGGUGCAAGCGUUAAUCGGAUUUACUGGGCGUAAAGCGUGCGUAGGUGGUCUUUUAAGUCGGAUGUGAAAUCCCUGAGCUUAACUUAGGAAUUGCAUUCGAUACUGGGAGACUAGAGUAUGGGAGAGGAUGGUAGAAUUCCAGGUGUAGCGGUGAAAUGCGUAGAGAUCUGGAGGAAUACCGAUGGCGAAGGCAGCCAUCUGGCCUAAUACUGACACUGAGGUACGAAAGCAUGGGAGCAAACAGGAUU